GCAGAUGAGGGUUGAGCAGAACAGGAAGAUGGCAACUUACACCCUGUAGUCUGACAAUCGUAUCAGCUCCACAGCGGAGACCUCUGCCUGCUUCCCCACAUGGAGUCUCCUUCAGUCUGCUCGUGCACUAGUUUACAGCAGAUAUGUGUCCAAAUCCCUGUGGAGGUGAGCGCCUCCCCUCUCUCCACACUGUUGCUCGCAGACAGUUUUCAUUCCCAUUCUUCAAAGAGGAAGAUGAAUUCUGAGACACCGACAAUGCAAAGCAGGAGACCAAAGUAGGGCGACACUCAUUUUCCUCUCAAUAACAUGACCUCGUUUCCCUUGUGGCUGGAUAAAACUCCAUUGUACGGACUCAUCACGCUUCCUUCAUCCAUCUUGACGACAGCCACGUGGGUGACAGGCGAGAUGGAAUCCCAGCGCAGUUUUUAAUCGACAUUUCCCUGCUAGAUAAAUCCUGCUUCAACACGUUCUUCAACUUUGAGGAUAUGCAAGAGAUCACCCAGCACUUUGCUGUCUGUCACGUGGAUGCCCCAGGCCAACAGGAAGCAGCACCCUCCUUCCCAACAGGACUCCUGGAGUGGUCAAGGUCUCCUAGUGUCUAGGAACUGUGGUGCUUUCUAAUUCAGGAGCGGUUACUCUGGGUUUCAGGUAUCAGUACCCCACCAUGGAUGAGCUGGCUGAGAUGCUGC
Molecule: long non-coding RNA, 689 nt
Filed under: Rattus norvegicus (Norway rat)
Lineage: Eukaryota; Metazoa; Chordata; Mammalia; Rodentia; Muridae
Description: long non-coding RNA NONRATT018815
Source: RNAcentral